Molecule: small nuclear RNA, 107 nt
Organism: Monodelphis domestica (gray short-tailed opossum)
Lineage: Eukaryota; Metazoa; Chordata; Mammalia; Didelphimorphia; Didelphidae
Source: Ensembl
GUGUUCACUUCAGCAGCACAUAUACUAAAAUUGGAAUGAUUCAAAGAAGAUUAGCAUGACCCCUGCUCAAGGAUGAUAUGUGAAUUUGUGAAGCAUUCCAAAUUUCU